This 625-nucleotide ribosomal RNA is filed under the name uncultured bacterium. RNAcentral's name for it is "bacterial SSU rRNA". It matches the Rfam family "Bacterial small subunit ribosomal RNA", at positions 28 to 699 of the family's 1533-position model. The record is from RNAcentral.
AACGAACGCUGGCGGCAGGCCUAACACAUGCAAGUCGAGCGAACCCUUCGGGGUUAGCGGCGGACGGGUUAGUAACNCGUGGGAAUAUGNCCAAAGGUACGGAAUAGCCUCGGGAAACUGAGAGUAAUACCGUAUGUGCCCUUCGGGGGAAAGAUUUAUCGCCUUUGGAUUAGCCCGCGUUGGAUUAGGUAGUUGGUGGGGUAAUGGCCUACCAAGCCGACGAUCCAUAGCUGGUUUGAGAGGAUGAUCAGCAACACUGGGACUGAGACACGGCCCAGACUCCUACGGGAGGCAGCAGUGGGGAAUCUUAGACAAUGGGGGAAACCCUGAUCUAGCCAUGCCGCGUGAGCGAUGAAGGCCUUAGGGUUGUAAAGCUCUUUCAGCUGGGAAGAUAAUGACGGUACCAGCAGAAGAAGCCCCGGCUAACUCCGUGCCAGCAGCCGCGGUAAUACGGAGGGGGCUAGCGUUGUUCGGAAUUACUGGGCGUAAAGCGCACGUAGGCGGACUGGAAAGUUGGGGGUGAAAUCCCGGGGCUCAACCCCGGAACUGCCUUCAAAACUCCCAGUCUUGAGUUCGAGAGAGGUGAGUGGAAUUCCGAGUGUAGAGGUGAAAUUCGUAGAUAUUC